UGGUAAAAUGUGAUGUACCUAGUAAUAUUAGUGAUUAAUAUGAGGCUAACCGAGUUAGUUAAAAUUCUAAGUAUAUAUGUGAUUAUGACAAUAUGUGCUUAUUUCUUGACCAAGUCACGUGCCAGCCGUCGCGGUAAUACGUGGAAGAUCAGUGUUAUUCAUCUUUAUCAGGUUUAAAGGGUACCUAGACGGUUAAUUAAGCUUUAGUAGGAACUAAUUAACUAGAGUUUAAUGUAAGAAUGAUUGAGUACGGUGAGUGUAGAGAUAAAAUUCUGUCAUACCACUUAGGAACUGGUAAAAGCGAAGGCAACUUUCUAUGUAAAAACUGACGUUAAGGGACGAAGGCUCGUAUCAAAUAACAGGAUUAGAUACCCCAGCAUUGUGGGCAGACAAUGAUGAGUGUCAUAUGCAAGAGAUAAAAAAAAAUAUUUUGUGUAUAAAUGAAAGUGUAAGCACUCCACCUCAAGAGUAACGUGGCAACAUGGGAACUGAAAUCAUUAGACCGUUUCUGAAACUCGUAGUGAAGUAUGUUGUUUAAUUAGAUGGUGCACAAAUAACCUUACCACAAUUUGUAUAACUAUAGUACAUAAUAAUAAUAUAGUUACAAGCGUUGCACGGCUGUCUUUAGUCUAUGUUGUGAAACUGUGGUUAGAUCCAUUAAAUAGACGUAAACCCUUACUUUAUUUAUUAUAAAGUAGUUCGCCGCUAUAUUGGUAGUGAUAUAAGGGACUAGGACAAGUCAUCAUGACCUGAACAUUGU
RNAcentral lists this ribosomal RNA (760 nucleotides) under Diploschistes scruposus. RNAcentral's name for it is "mitochondrial SSU rRNA". It matches the Rfam family "Bacterial small subunit ribosomal RNA", at positions 366 to 1210 of the family's 1533-position model. The record is from RNAcentral. Lineage: Eukaryota; Fungi; Ascomycota; Lecanoromycetes; Ostropales; Graphidaceae. RNAcentral also lists the same sequence under 1 other name.